UAGGGAAUCUUCCGCAAUGGGCGAAAGCCUGACGGAGCAACGCCGCGUGAGUGAUGAAGGUCUUCGGAUCGUAAAACUCUGUUAUUAGGGAAGAACAAAUGUGUAAGUAACUAUGCACGUCUUGACGGUACCUAAUCAGAAAGCCACGGCUAACUACGUGCCAGCAACCGCGGUAAUACGUAGGUGGCAAGCGUUAUCCGGAAUUAUUGGGCGUAAAGCGCGCGUAGGCGGUUUUUUAAGUCUGAUGUGAAAGCCCACGGCUCAACCGUGGAGGGUCAUUGGAAACUGGAAAACUUGAGUGCAGAAGAGGAAAGUGGAAUUCCAUGUGUAGCGGUGAAAUGCGCAGAGAUAUGGAGGAACACCAGUGGCGAAGGCGACUUUCUGGUCUGUAACUGACGCUGAUGUGCGAAAGCGUGGGGAUCAAACAGG
RNAcentral lists this ribosomal RNA (429 nucleotides) under Actinomycetes bacterium. RNAcentral's name for it is "Actinobacteria bacterium partial 16S ribosomal RNA". It matches the Rfam family "Bacterial small subunit ribosomal RNA", at positions 355 to 776 of the family's 1533-position model. The record is from RNAcentral. Lineage: Bacteria; Bacillati; Actinomycetota; Actinomycetes.